RNAcentral lists this long non-coding RNA (3847 nucleotides) under Salmo trutta (river trout). RNAcentral describes it as "lncRNA (ENSSTUG00000031995.1)". Lineage: Eukaryota; Metazoa; Chordata; Actinopteri; Salmoniformes; Salmonidae. The record is from RNAcentral.
UGUAACACCCUGGCCUAACCAAAAUAAAGACCAAAAACCCCUCUCUAUGGCCAGGGUGUUACAUACAUAGGGAUUUUAAUCUACAAUUUACUUUGCAGUCUGGUCCAUAGACCUCUCAGAGAGAAAGGCCUCCCUCCUCCUAGAAGUGCUGAAACUCCAACCAGAGAAGAAACCAGUAGAGCUGAAGGGCUGGUCAGAUGAAGAGAGUGAAGUGAGGAGUUUCCUUCAGUGUCUGUCCUUCAUCUCACAGCUGAGUUUCUGUCUAUGGUGGCCUGAUCCCUCAAAGCAGAUCACGUUCCUGGUGAAUCUCCUGUCUCAAGCAGCAGAGUGGGAGGAGCAGACAGGAGAGAAGACACUGAAGCUGGUAUCAUCAGUGUGUACUUACAGCGCUUUCCCCUUCUGUGACUGGGUUUAUGAUGAUGAUGGUGAUGUGAUUAAGGAAAAUCAGUGUCAUUUCCUGUUGGAUCUUUACUCACAUGUGAAGGACUAUGAGACUCAAACAGGCAGGAGUGUCCUUCCAGCAUUACAGCCAGUUUACCAGUCAGUUCCUGCAGUCUGGUCCAUAGACCUCUCAGAGAGAAAGGCCUCCCUCCUCCUAGACGUGCUGAAACUCCAACCAGAGAAGAAACCAGUAGAGCUGAAGGGCUGGUCAGAUGAAGAGAGUGAAGUGAGGGGUUUCCUUCAGUGUCUGCCCUACAUCUCACAGCUGAGUUUCUAUCCAUGGAGGUCUGAUCCCUCAAAGCAGAUCAAGUUCCUGGUGGAUCUCCUGUCUCAAGCAGCAGAGUGGGAGGGGCAGACAGGAGAGAAGACACUGAAGCUGGUAUCAUCAGUGUGGACUUACAGCACCUUUCCUUAUCGCUAUGGAAACAAUUCUAAACAGAGUGAUUUCCUACUGGAUCUGUACUCACAUGUGAAGGACUAUGAGACUCAAACAGGCAGGAGUGUCCUUCCAGCGUUACAGCCAGUUUACCAGUCAGCUCAUACAGUCUGGUCCAUAGACCUGUCAGAGAGAAAGGCCUCCCUCCUCCUAGAAGUGCUGAAACUCCAACCAGAGAAGAAACCAGUAGAGCUGAGGGGCUGGUCAGAUGAAGAGAGUGACGUGAGGAGUUUCCUUCAGUGUCUGCCCUACAUCUCACAGCUGAGUUUCUAUCCAUGGUGGCCUGAUCCCUCAAAGCAGAUCAAGUUCCUGGUGGAUCUCCUGUGUCAGGCAGCAGAGUGGGAGGAGCAGACAGGAGAGAAGACACUGAAGCUGGUAUCAUCAGUGUGUACUUACAGCACUUUCCCCUUCUGUGAAGAUGUUGUUGAUGAUGGUGAUGUGAUUAAGGAAAAUCAGUGUCAUUUCCUGCUGGAUCUGUACUCACAUGUGAAGGACUAUGAGACUCAAACAGGCAGGAGUGUCCUUCCAGCAUUACAGCCAGUUUACCAGUCAGCUCCUGCAGUCUGGUCCAUCGACCUCUCAGAGAGAAAGGCCUCCCUCCUCCUAGAAGUGCUGAAACUCCAACCAGAGAAGAAACCAGUAGUCCUGAAGGGCUGGUUAGAUGAAGAGAGUGAAGUGAGGGGUUUCCUUAAGUGUCUGUCCUACAUCUCACAGCUGAGAUUUCCUCCACUGAAGGAUAAUGUAGAGAGGAUAAAGAGAGAGAAGACAUUCCUACUGAAUCUGUGUCUUCAAGCAGCUCUUCAUGAGAGAGGAACCAUACAAACAACUGUAGAGAAAGUGUUGUCACUGUCUGAAGUAUAUCACAAUCAGAAAUGGGAUUUCCUGCUGUAUCUGUACUCACAUGUGAAGGACUAUGAGACUCAAACAGGCAGGAGUGUCCUUCCAGCAUUACAGCCAGUUUACCAGUCAGCCAGUCCUGCAGUCUGGUCCAUAGACCUCUCAAAGAGAAAGGCCUCCCUCGUCCUAGAAGUGCUGAAACUCCAACCAGAGAAGAAACCAGUACAGCUGAUGGGCUGGUCAGAUGAAGAGAGUGAAGUGAGGAGUUUCCUUCAGUGUCUGCCCUAUAUCUCACAGCUGAGUGUUACUCCACCACAGGAACAGAGAAGAUCCCCUGAAGAGAGGAGAAAGAGAGAGAAGACAUUCCUACUGAAUCUGUGUCUUCAAGCAGCUCUCCAUGAGAGAGGAACCAUACAAACAACUGUAGAGAAGGUGUUGUCAUUGUCUGAAGUAUAUCACUAUCAGAAAUGUGAUUUCCUGCUGGAUCUGUACUCAUUUGUGAAGGACUAUGAGAUUCAAACAGGCAGGAGUGUCCUUCCAGCAUUACAGCCAGUUUACCAGUCAGCUCCUGCAGUCUGGUCCAUAGACCUCUCAGAGAGAAAGGCCUCCCUCCUCCUAGAAGUGCUGAAACUCCAACCAGAGAAGAAACCAGUAGAGCUGAAGGGCUGGUCAGAUGAAGAGAGUGAAGUGAGGAGUUUCCUUCAGUGUCUGUCCUACAUCUCACAGCUGAGUUUUACUCCUCCAUGGGAUCAGAGAAGAUGCCCUGAAGAGAGGACACAGAGAGAGAAGACAUUCCUACUGAAUCUGUGUCUUCAAGCAGCUCUCCAUGAGAGAGGAACCAUACAAACAACUGUAGAGAAAGUGUUGUCACUGUCUGAAGUAUAUCACAAUCAGAAAUGUGAUUUCCUGCUGGAUCUGUGCUCACAUGUGAAUGACUACGAGACUCAAACAGGCAGGAGUGUUCUUCCAGCAUUACAGCCAGUUUACCAGUCAGCCAGUCCUGCAGUCUGGUCCAUAGACCUCUCAGAGAGAAAGGCCUCCCUCUUCCGAGAAGUGCUGAAACUCCAACCAGAGAAGAAACCAGUAGAGCUGAAGGGCUGGUCAGAUGAAGAGAGUGAAGUGAGGAGUUUCCUUCAGUGUCUGCCCUACAUCUCACAGCUGAGUUUCUAUCCAGAUUGGUAUGAUCCCUCAAAGCAGAUCAAGUUCCUGGUGGAUCUCCUAUCUCAAGCAGCAGAGUGGGAGGAGCAGACAGGAGAUAAGACACUGAAGCUGGUAUCAUCAGUGUGUACUUACAGCACUUUCCCCUUCUGUGAUGAUGACGAUGAUGAUGAUGAUGAUGAUGAUGAGGAAUAUCAAAGUGAUUUCCUGCUGGAUCUCUACCCACAUGUGAAGGACUAUGAGUGUCAAACAGGCAGGAGUGUCCUUCCAGCAUUGCAGCCAGUUUACCAGUCAGCCAGUCCUGCCGUCUGGUCCAUAGACCUGUCAGAGAGAAAGGCCUCCCUCCUCCUAGAAGUGCUAAAACUCCAACCAGAGAAGAAACCAGUAAAGCUGAAGGGCUGGUAUGAUGAAGAGAGUGAAGUGAGGAGUUUCCUUCAGUGUCUGCCCUACAUCUCACAGCUGAGUUUUACUCCACCACGGGAUCAGAGAAGAUCCCCUGAAGAGAGGAGAAAGAGAGAGAAGACAUUCCUACUGAAUCUGUGUCUUCAAGCAGCUCUCCAUGAGAGAGGAACCAUACAAACAAUUGUAGAGAAAGUGUUGUCACUGUCUAAAGUAUAUCACGAUCAGAAAUUUGAUUUCCUGCUGGAUCUGUACUCACAUGUGAAGGACUAUGAGACUCAAACAGGCAGGAGUGUCCUUCCAGCAUUACAGCCAGUUUACCAGUCAGCCAGUCCUGCAGUCUGGUCCAUAGACCUCUCAGAGAGAAAGGCCUCCCUCCUCCUAGAAGUGCUGAAACUCCAACCAGAGAAGAAACCAGUAGAGCUGGAGGGCUGGUCAGAUGAAGAGAGUGAAGUGAGGAGUUUCCUUCAGUGUCUGUCCUACAUCUCACAGCUGAGGUGAGUCUGAACAUGUGUGAUGGUUAGUGAUUAUGUGAUGCUACUGAUUAUUGUCUUUUAGAAACAUUGUAAUAUGAAA